GAUGAACGCUGGCGGCGUGCCUAAUACAUGCAAGUCGAGCGAACAGACGAGGAGCUUGCUCCUCUGACGUUAGCGGCGGACGGGUGAGUAACACGUGGAUAACCUACCUAUAAGACUGGGAUAACUUCGGGAAACCGGAGCUAAUACCGGAUAAUAUAUUGAACCGCAUGGUUCAAUAGUGAAAGACGGUUUUGCUGUCACUUAUAGAUGGAUCCGCGCCGCAUUAGCUAGUUGGUAAGGUAACGGCUUACCAAGGCAACGAUGCUUAGCCGACCUCAGAGGGUGAUCGGCCACACUGGAACUGAGACACGGUCCAGACUCCUACGGGAGGCAGCAGUAGGGAAUCUUCCGCAAUGGGCGAAAGCCUGACGGAGCAACGCCGCGUGAGUGAUGAAGGUCUUCGGAUCGUAAAACUCUGUUAUUAGGGAAGAACAAAUGUGUAAGUAACUAUGCACGUCUUGACGGUACCUAAUCAGAAAGCCACGGCUAACUACGUG
This 497-nucleotide ribosomal RNA is filed under the name uncultured bacterium. Its description in RNAcentral is "partial 16S ribosomal RNA". It matches the Rfam family "Bacterial small subunit ribosomal RNA", at positions 28 to 507 of the family's 1533-position model. The record is from RNAcentral.